Molecule: ribosomal RNA, 320 nt
Filed under: uncultured bacterium
Lineage: Bacteria
Description: bacterial SSU rRNA
Rfam family: Bacterial small subunit ribosomal RNA
Source: RNAcentral
UGACGGUACCUGACUAAGAAGCCCCGGCUAACUACGUGCCAGCAGCCGCGGUAAUACGUAGGGGGCAAGCGUUAUCCGGAUUUACUGGGUGUAAAGGGAGCGUAGACGGUCUGGCAAGUCUGAUGUGAAAGGCAGGGGCUCAACUCCUGGACUGCAUUGGAAACUGUCAGUCUUGAGUGUCGGAGAGGUAAGCGGAAUUCCUAGUGUAGCGGUGAAAUGCGUAGAUAUUAGGAGGAACACCAGUGGCGAAGGCGGCUUACUGGACGAUAACUGACGUUGAGGCUCGAAAGCGUGGGGAGCAAACAGGAUUAGAUACCCUG